Molecule: ribosomal RNA, 619 nt
Filed under: Micrococcus sp. RC15-6-1-1
Lineage: Bacteria; Bacillati; Actinomycetota; Actinomycetes; Micrococcales; Micrococcaceae
Description: bacterial SSU rRNA
Rfam family: Bacterial small subunit ribosomal RNA
Source: RNAcentral
GUGGCGAACGGGUGAGUAACACGUGAGUAACCUGCCCUUAACUCUGGGAUAAGCCUGGGAAACUGGGUCUAAUACCGGAUAGGAGCGUCCACCGCAUGGUGGGUGUUGGAAAGAUUUAUCGGUUUUGGAUGGACUCGCGGCCUAUCAGCUUGUUGGUGAGGUAAUGGCUCACCAAGGCGACGACGGGUAGCCGGCCUGAGAGGGUGACCGGCCACACUGGGACUGAGACACGGCCCAGACUCCUACGGGAGGCAGCAGUGGGGAAUAUUGCACAAUGGGCGAAAGCCUGAUGCAGCGACGCCGCGUGAGGGAUGACGGCCUUCGGGUUGUAAACCUCUUUCAGUAGGGAAGAAGCGAAAGUGACGGUACCUGCAGAAGAAGCACCGGCUAACUACGUGCCAGCAGCCGCGGUAAUACGUAGGGUGCGAGCGUUAUCCGGAAUUAUUGGGCGUAAAGAGCUCGUAGGCGGUUUGUCGCGUCUGUCGUGAAAGUCCGGGGCUUAACCCCGGAUCUGCGGUGGGUACGGGCAGACUAGAGUGCAGUAGGGGAGACUGGAAUUCCUGGUGUAGCGGUGGAAUGCGCAGAUAUCAGGAGGAACACCGAUGGCGAAGGCAGGUCU